RNAcentral lists this non-coding RNA (161 nucleotides) under bovine gut metagenome. The record is from RNAcentral.
GGGGUCUGGUUCGGGUGAAAAGGGAAGCCGGUGCAAAUCCGGAGCAACAGCCAUUACUGUGAUGGGAUGGCGGGCGCAAAAGCCAUUGAGCGAUGCUUGAGAAGGCGCGUCCGCGGGAAAGCGAUUUCCGCGUCCUCAGCCAGGAGACCUGCCGCAUGCGU